Transfer RNA from Ipomoea nil (Japanese morning glory), 72 nucleotides. It matches the Rfam family "tRNA". Rfam says of the family: Transfer RNA (tRNA) molecules are approximately 80 nucleotides in length. Their secondary structure includes four short double-helical elements and three loops (D, anti-codon, and T loops). Further hydrogen bonds mediate the characteristic L-shaped molecular structure. tRNAs have two regions of fundamental functional importance: the anti-codon, which is responsible for specific mRNA codon recognition, and the 3' end, to which the tRNAs corresponding amino acid is attached (by aminoacyl-tRNA synthetases). tRNAs cope with the degeneracy of the genetic code in two manners: having more than one tRNA (with a specific anti-codon) for a particular amino acid; and 'wobble' base-pairing, i.e. permitting non-standard base-pairing at the 3rd anti-codon position. NCBI's taxonomy places the organism in Eukaryota, Viridiplantae, Streptophyta, Magnoliopsida, Solanales, Convolvulaceae. The record is from Rfam.
GUGGCUAUAGUUUAGUGGUAAGAAUUCCACAUUGUGGCCUUGGAGACUUGGGCUCGAAUCCCAGCAGCCACA